Prunus avium (sweet cherry) is the source of this 696-nucleotide non-coding RNA. Lineage: Eukaryota; Viridiplantae; Streptophyta; Magnoliopsida; Rosales; Rosaceae. The record is from RefSeq and is a predicted model, not a curated record.
GAUUGCUUGGUGGUUGAAAAGGACAAAGCGAAGACCAGGACGGUGACGUUUCACUAGGAUUUUUCGAGGGAAAGAGAUUUUAAUAGUGGAAACUAGAAAAUUCUCAAGCUUUGAAAGGAAAGCGUAGAAAUGGUACAUGCUCUGGUUCAAACAGCACCACUUCUCCUCCAAUGUUCUCCUCCUCCUCCUCCCCAUGUCUCUAACUGUAGGUGUGCACUGUCAAAUGUCAAUGCUGGAAAAGCAAGAUCCAAAGCGACUACCAAUUGUAUACGGGGAGUGCCUGGUAAAAUAAUGAUGAAGUGCUGUUCAGAGCAAUCUAUCAGCAGCAAGCCUCUGACCAGACAUGUUUUAUCCGGCUUUGCUGCAACGUUAGUAUUUGUCUCUCAAAUAAACCAGGUUAGUAGAUUUAAUCUUUUGUAGUGUUAUAGGAUGCUAGAAUUGAAAAUUUAUGUUCUGACAAAGCGUCGUCCUUCAGGAGAAGCAGAAGAUUUAUUUUCCUAGCUGGUAAAUUUGACUCAUCCAAUUGUAUAAAAACUUUAAAAAGCAUAGGUGUUGGACCAAUCAUUUCUUUGGGUUACAUCUUAUAAGCUCGCAGUAAAAAUUUAGCCCCUUCAGAUCUACAUUUGUUUGAGUUCUUUCCCAUAUUGGGAUUGUCAGAAGAUUUCUGGUAGAGAUGCUUGAGCUUUUAUUAAAACC